ACCAUGCAAGUCGAACGCUGAAGCUCCAGCUUGCUGGGGUGGAUGAGUGGCGAACGGGUGAGUAACACGUGAGUAACCUUCCCUUGACUCUGGGAUAAGCCCGGGAAACUGGGUCUAAUACCGGAUAUGACUUCUCAUCGCAUGGUGGGGGGUGGAAAGAUUUAUCGGUCUUGGAUGGACUCGCGGCCUAUCAGCUUGUUGGUGAGGUAAUGGCUCACCAAGGCGACGACGGGUAGCCGGCCUGAGAGGGUGACCGGCCACACUGGGACUGAGACACGGCCCAGACUCCUACGGGAGGCAGCAGUGGGGAAUAUUGCACAAUGGGCGCAAGCCUGAUGCAGCGACGCCGCGUGAGGGAUGACGGCCUUCGGGUUGUAAACCUCUUUCAGUAGGGAAGAAGCGAAAGUGACGGUACCUGCAGAAGAAGCGCCGGCUAACUACGUGCCAGCAGCCGCGGUAAUACGUAGGGCGCGAGCGUUAUCCGGAAUUAUUGGGCGUAAAGAGCUCGUAGGCGGUUUGUCGCGUCUGCCGUGAAAGUCCGGGGCUUAACCCCGGAUCUGCGGUGGGUACGGGCAGACUAGAGUGCAGUAGGGGAGACCGGAAUUCCUGGUGUAGCGGUGAAAUGCGCAGAUAUCAGGAGGAACACCGAUGGCGAAGGCAGGUCUCUGGGCUGUUACUGACGCUGAGGAGCGAAAGCAUGGGGAGCGAACAGGAUUAGAUACCCUGGUAGUCCAUGCCGUAAACGUUGGGCACUAGGUGUGGGGGACAUUCCACGUUUUCCGCGCCGCAGCUAACGCAUUAAGUGCCCCGCCUGGGGAGUACGGCCGCAAGGCUAAAACUCAAAGGAAUUGACGGGGGCCCGCACAAGCGGCGGAGCAUGCGGAUUAAUUCGAUGCAACGCGANNANCUUACCAAGGCUUGACAUGUNCUCGAUCGCCACAGAGAUGUGGUUUCCCNUUUGGGGCGGGUUCACAGGUGGUGCAUGGUUGUCGUCAGCUCGUGUCGUGAGAUGNUGGGUANUCCCGCAACGAGCNCAACCUCGUUCCAUGNUGCNGGGGGU
This 1060-nucleotide ribosomal RNA is filed under the name Citricoccus sp. Bl54. RNAcentral describes it as "bacterial SSU rRNA". It matches the Rfam family "Bacterial small subunit ribosomal RNA", at positions 53 to 1125 of the family's 1533-position model. Lineage: Bacteria; Bacillati; Actinomycetota; Actinomycetes; Micrococcales; Micrococcaceae. The record is from RNAcentral.